GUGAGGAUGUGGAGGAUUUGUUGGAAACUAUUUAAAGCAUAAUUAAUGUUCCCUUUAAAUACACGGAGAGAUAACAGAAUUAGUUGUGGGGGGAAAAAAAAACCCUUUUUCUAAUAAAAUGGAACAUUUUCAAAGGAAAAUAAAUGCUUAAGCAUUGGUUCCUGGCUGUUGGGAGGUGAUGUCGUUUCACUCGAGACAAAGGAGCUUUCUGGAGUGACAUGGCAGAGGAUCAGGUGCUGGAAUUAAAUGGUGGCAUCCAAAGGAAGUUCCCUUUUUUCAGAAUUCUGGAAUACUCUGAGAAAAACAGCCCCCAGAAAUGAUGGACUUGAUCCCAGUGUAUGGAAUGGUGCAAUAAUGUCACGUGGGCAGUGCAGUGUCACUGAAACUGGUGGCUGGAGGUGAUAAGGAGCUCAAGUUUGGAGCAGCGAUGGAAAAUCUCCCAGGGAUGAUUGCUGCUAGGAGUGAAAAGAAAGCAUAAAGACUGGGAGGGAUGCUCUUCAAUGGAAAAUUCACUGUGUGGUCAAAGAGCAGAAGAGUCUGCAGAGAGCUCUAUUUGUGCAUUCUGCAUCGAAGCUGCCGAAUGGACCCUCCUGAGGCUAUGGAUGGACCAGCUCUUGAAGGCUUGCUGUGUCUUCUUCUGUUCCCUGAUUUGGCUGCAAGUUCACAAUGAA
RNAcentral lists this long non-coding RNA (671 nucleotides) under Numida meleagris (helmeted guineafowl). Its description in RNAcentral is "lncRNA (ENSNMEG00000000871.1)". The record is from RNAcentral. Lineage: Eukaryota; Metazoa; Chordata; Aves; Galliformes; Numididae.